This 253-nucleotide ribosomal RNA is filed under the name uncultured bacterium. Its description in RNAcentral is "partial 16S ribosomal RNA". It matches the Rfam family "Bacterial small subunit ribosomal RNA", at positions 524 to 776 of the family's 1533-position model. The record is from RNAcentral.
UACGAAGGGGGCUAGCGUUGCUCGGAAUCACUGGGCGUAAAGGGUGCGUAGGCGGGUCUUUAAGUCAGGGGUGAAAUCCUGGAGCUCAACUCCAGAACUGCCUUUGAUACUGAGGAUCUUGAGUUCGGGAGAGGUUAGUGGAACUGCGAGUGUAGAGGUGAAAUUCGUAGAUAUUCGCAAGAACACCAGUGGCGAAGGCGGCUCACUGGCCCGAUACUGACGCUGAGGCACGAAAGCGUGGGGAGCAAACAGG